Microcebus murinus (gray mouse lemur) is the source of this 2062-nucleotide non-coding RNA. Lineage: Eukaryota; Metazoa; Chordata; Mammalia; Primates; Cheirogaleidae. The record is from RefSeq and is a predicted model, not a curated record.
ACAGCUCACACGGCACCCUAAAGAAAAGAUGGGGCCUUCAACGGGAAGACGGACCCGGGCAACGCUACUGUCGUCCUGAGAAAGCGCAGUAAUAGCCGGCCUGAGUCACGAAGAACAGACACGGAUCAGCGAAGCUGGAGGCGUGAGAGGUCAGGAUGACUACCCCACGAUAGGAGGAGGAGAUCGGAACUCAGGAGUUCGAGUCUGACACUGGGGGUUGUGCUGCCAGGGAGAGAGGAAAGGUUCCGCACACACACCAGGGAGCCUGCCGGGAUGCAGCUUUGGGGCCUGCCGGAAACCUGUCGGGGGGAGCAGGACGGGCCAGGAGAACGGCAGGCGUGUGGACGUUUCAGUGGGACAACGACCAUGAAGCCACGGGCGGCUGGUGAGGAAACAUCUAUAUCUCGAGGAAAAGACUCCACGUGGCAGCCGUGAGUUGGCCACAGGCCUCCUGGUGCGGAGCUGACCGCCGUGUGCGGGCAGUGGGCGGGGGAGGGGACAGCUCAGGGGACGGCACUGUGACUCACGAUGGCUUCCCUCCAGGCUGUGCAGGACUUCCCUUCCAAGAAACGCGUUUGCAGUCCCAAGCCCAGGGGAGCCCCUGGGCGUCAGGCAGUAAGCGCUGGCGGGAGGGGGGGUGGAUGCACCUCAUCUCCCGCCGUCUUGUGUGGCCAUCGUGCUGGCUUUCUCUUGGAUAAAAGGCAACACAGUCUGCUGGUGAGUUAAUGGAGCUGGAACACCGAGUCUCACUCUUGUCACUGGGAUUGGCCCUCGCUUGUCUGGGCCGGUCUCCGGUGCCUCUGUUUCUCCAGUUCCGGGCGUGAGUAGCGAGGCCAAUCUGUGAAAUAGGACUGCCCUGGACCAGACGCAAUGUCGGCAUCGGCCCUGCUCCGUGCCGCUGGCGAGGAGGGAGCCGAGGAAGGCGCCUCUGUCUCCCAGGUCAGAAGAGGCGUGAGGGGGCGCAGGGAGCCGGCCGGGCCGGGGCCCCGCCUCGCUCCAGGUCUGCGCGGGGCUGUGACGCUCUGGCCGGCCCCUCGCUCUUUCUGGUUAUGUUUCUCUGUCUUUCAAAGGGCAGUUCAGGGUUGGAAAGUACGGCCUCCAAGCCAAGCCGUCCCUUGCCCGUUCUGUCGGUGAAGGUGUGCUGGACACAGCCACACCUUCUGUUUCCGUGUCACCUACGGCUACUUCCGAGCUACAGCCUUGGAGUUGAGUGACCGUGACAGAGACGUUGUGAGCAGGGACACCUCACACGUCUGCCGCCUGCUCCUUUUCAGAUGUUUGCCGCCUCCUGGGUGGGGGCAAAGCCUCCCACAGUCGCCCCUGCAGAACCAGCUCUGCAGAUGCUAUUGGGUGUCACAAGAGAAGACAGGUGAUGGCAGCAUGGCCGGGCGGGGGUGGCAGCCAGUGGGCAGGGCUCCCGCGCCUCCUGCCGCCGAGUGCAGUUCGGCAAGGCUCGCCUGCCCUGCUGCGGGCGGCGGUUUGAUUGACAGGCGAGGAGACACGCUCCAGGGGAGAGGCGGAUUUCUGCGGAGCGCGGUGAUGAUGCCGGCGCGGGCGUGAGUGCGGCUGCUCCGGCCCCUGCACUGGGAGCCGCGUCCCCUCCCACACACCCGCCUGCGGACACCGCCUGCUACCGCAGCCACGGGCCACCCUGCGUGGCCCGAGAACCCUGUGGGUCUGUGAUUUGGGAAUCACCAGCAAAGCAUCUGCUGUUCCCCUCACGUCUGGGAGAACAGCCUGGGUCUCUCGCGCCACCCGGACAAGCCCGGAGAGAACGCAACAGCGAGGACGACCAGGCGCACUCGCCGCCACGUUCUUGGUCCUCUUUUCUACCCCGCAUUUCUGCCUGUUCCUCCCUUCGCCCUCUUCUUUCUCUCCCUCCGUCCCCUCCUCUCCUCUUCCCCUGCCCCCACGCCCCGCUCUUCCCUCCUGGGUCCUGCUGUUCUUGAGCUGCAUCUAUAGGCAGAGUCGGGGGGAGAAGCGAGCCCUGUGGCUCUGGAGGCAGGGACCCCCACCUCCCCGUGGGGGCAGACGGCCCGGCCGCCCAGGCCCCUCCCGGCGG